ACCCGAAACCCGGUGAUCUAGCCAUGGGCAGGUUGAAGGUUGGGUAACACUAACUGGAGGACCGAACCGACUAAUGUUGAAAAAUUAGCGGAUGACUUGUGGCUGGGGGUGAAAGGCCAAUCAAACCGGGAGAUAGCUGGUUCUCCCCGAAAGCUAUUUAGGUAGCGCCUCGUGAAUUCAUCUCCGGGGGUAGAGCACUGUUUCGGCAAGGGGGUCAUCCCGACUUACCAACCCGAUGCAAACUGCGAAUACCGGAGAAUGUUAUCACGGGAGACACACGGCGGGUGCUAACGUCCGUCGUGAAGAGGGAAACAACCCAGACCGCCAGCUAAGGUCCCAAAGUCAUGGUUAAGUGGGAAACGAUGUGGGAAGGCCCAGACAGCCAGGAUGUUGGCUUAGAAGCAGCCAUCAUUUAAAGAAAGCGUAAUAGCUCACUGGUCGAGUCGGCCUGCGCG
This 455-nucleotide ribosomal RNA is filed under the name Escherichia coli. RNAcentral's name for it is "partial 23S ribosomal RNA". It matches the Rfam family "Bacterial large subunit ribosomal RNA", at positions 713 to 1165 of the family's 2925-position model. Lineage: Bacteria; Pseudomonadati; Pseudomonadota; Gammaproteobacteria; Enterobacterales; Enterobacteriaceae. The record is from RNAcentral.